RNAcentral lists this ribosomal RNA (305 nucleotides) under uncultured bacterium. RNAcentral describes it as "bacterial SSU rRNA". It matches the Rfam family "Bacterial small subunit ribosomal RNA", at positions 337 to 640 of the family's 1533-position model. The record is from RNAcentral.
UCCUACGGGACGCAGCAGUGAGGAAUAUUGGUCAAUGGACGCAAGUCUGAACCAGCCAUGCCGCGUGCAGGAUGACGGCUCUAUGAGUUGUAAACUGCUUUUGUCAGGGAGCAAGAACGGAUACGUGUAUCCGAGCGAGAGUACCUGAAGAAAAAGCAUCGGCUAACUCCGUGCCAGCAGCCGCGGUAAUACGGAGGAUGCGAGCGUUAUCCGGAUUUAUUGGGUUUAAAGGGUGCGUAGGCGGGCUGCCAAGUCAGCGGUAAAAAUUCGGGGCUCAACCCCGUCCGGCCGUUGAAACUGGGGGC